UACGGGGGGUGCGAGCGUUGUCCGGAAUCACUGGGCGUAAAGGGCGCGUAGGUGGCGUCGUAAGUCUGUGGUGAAAGCCCGGAGCUCAACUCCGGGUCUGCCGCGGGUACUGCGAGGCUUGAGUGCUGUAGAGGGGGGUAGAAUGCCGGGUGUAGCGGUGGAAUGCGUAGAGAUCCGGCAGAAGACCGGUGGCGAAGGCGGCCCCCUGGGCAGUAACUGACACUGAGGCGCGACAGCGUGGGGAGCGAACAGG
RNAcentral lists this ribosomal RNA (253 nucleotides) under uncultured bacterium. RNAcentral describes it as "partial 16S ribosomal RNA". It matches the Rfam family "Bacterial small subunit ribosomal RNA", at positions 524 to 776 of the family's 1533-position model. The record is from RNAcentral.